This 253-nucleotide ribosomal RNA is filed under the name uncultured bacterium. RNAcentral's name for it is "partial 16S ribosomal RNA". It matches the Rfam family "Bacterial small subunit ribosomal RNA", at positions 524 to 776 of the family's 1533-position model. The record is from RNAcentral.
UACGUAGGGUCCGAGCGUUGUCCGGAAUUACUGGGCGUAAAGAGCUCGUAGGUGGUUUGUCGCGUUGUUCGUGAAAACUCACAGCUCAACUGUGGGCGUGCGGGCGAUACGGGCAGACUAGAGUACUGCAGGGGAGACUGGAAUUCCUGGUGUAGCGGUGGAAUGCGCAGAUAUCAGGAGGAACACCGGUGGCGAAGGCGGGUCUCUGGGCCGAUACUGACGCUGAGGAGCGAAAGCGUGGGGAGCGAACAGG